Molecule: ribosomal RNA, 271 nt
Filed under: uncultured bacterium
Lineage: Bacteria
Description: partial 16S ribosomal RNA
Rfam family: Bacterial small subunit ribosomal RNA
Source: RNAcentral
UACGUAGGGUGCGAGCGUUAAUCGGAAUUACUGGGCGUAAAGCGUGCGCAGGCGGCUUUGCAAGACAGAUGUGAAAUCCCCGGGCUCAACCUGGGAAUUGCUUCCGAGACUGAGCGACUAGAGUACGGUAGAGGGCGGUGGAAUUUCCGGUGUAGCGGCGAAAUGCGUAGAUAUCGGAAGGAACACCAAUGGCGAAGGCAGCCGCCUGGGCCUGUACUGACACUGAGACACGAAAGCGUGGGGAUCAAACAGGAUUAGAUACCCGGGUAGU